RNAcentral lists this long non-coding RNA (1739 nucleotides) under Gossypium barbadense (sea-island cotton). RNAcentral's name for it is "long non-coding RNA (GBAR_LNC021175)". The record is from RNAcentral. Lineage: Eukaryota; Viridiplantae; Streptophyta; Magnoliopsida; Malvales; Malvaceae.
CUGAUUUAAUCUCUUUCCACCGCCUGACAUAAUCUAUCAAAUAGGAUAAUACUUUUUUCGAAAAAGCCAAGGUCUCCCCUCCAAAAUCAUCUCCAGAUCUUCUUCCAACUCAAAAACUAUCAAAAAUAAGUUUUGUCCCACCAUCUGAAUCUUACACUUUUUCCUUGUCUUCCAUAUGCCUUUCAUAUGUGCCCUAAAACUUUCUGGGUUGUAUAGUUUUUCUGUCUAGACUGUACAUAUCAAUGUAGGUUUAAAACUUGGUACUACCAUUUAACCAUUGACUGAUAAUAGAACUAGUUCUUCUGGAAGAAGAGAGAUCUCAUCCCUCCCCUCUCGAACGUCGCCACCGUCGCUUUCCUCUAUCCUAAGCCGCAGCAGUUACUGCUUUCUCUAGGACUUUUAAGCAAAGCACUCUUGGGAGCAGAAAGAGUUUAAGAGAGAAACCCUACUCGGUAUACUUUGUUAUUGAUAGUGUUUUUUUAUUGUUAAUUCAUUAGUAUCUUAGUUAGAUUAAAAAUAUGUUUAGUUGUUAGUAUUUUAGUUAGAUUAAAAAUCUCUAUUUCUGGCUAGACGUAUCUAGGUUAUCUUUAAUUUUUGUUAGAUUAUUAGUAGAAUGAGUUUGUUGGUUUAGUGAUAAGAUUUUAGCUCACCAAUAGUCUUAUGUUCAAAACCCUGUGUGUGCAAAAGGGAAAUUUAUUUUUGUUUUAAACUCUAAAGAAAAAAAUCUAAUGUGGAUAACUGAUGGAGUUAGUGGGUAGUUAUUAAAAAAUACAAAUUGAGGGAUUAUUUCCUAAUUUUUCUCCCUCAUUCUAUUGUCCCUAUUCUUUCUCCACAUUUCCCAUACACAUUUUUUUUCCAUUUGCUGUAUUGAGUGUUGGGAAAAAACCCUUUUUUGUCAUUUUCUUCUUCUCUGCUACUUUUCUUCCACUUUUGAUUAUAUUUUUGCAAUCCUAGCAUUUCGAUUUGCCGACCCUUGCUCUUAUGACAUCUUUUUACAAUGGUUAUUGUUUAGUAAGUUCUACGUAUUUCAUCUAGGAAUUUUGUUUUUAGUUUCUCUACAUUUUUCAAAUAGGAAUUUUGUUUUUGGUUUUUGGUUAAUUGGCCAACCGGAUGGUCUAUUUGUUUGUGUUCAGUUAGGUAGGGAUUUUGAGACGAACACUCCAUCGACGAAUUAAGCAUUGGGGAAUUGUUUCACCUUUGGGUAAGAAUUCAAAUACUUCAAUUCAAGGGUUGAUUGAGCAAAUUGUUGCUUUGGUUGACACCCCUAACAUUGGUGGUUGAAUACUCUAACCGAGUAAGGGUCGAGUGCUUAAUUUUGAAUUGGUGUGGUUGCUAAUUAGGUUGUUUAAACUAUUGUUUUAGGUUUUUAGAGUGUGUUGUAUAAUCAUUUUCCAGAAAUAGGAAGGUGUGUGACUCGAACUCGUAGAAACAACGACCGACAGAAAGUUGAAAAACUCACUGUCGACGUCACAUGCCAAACUGUGUAGUCCACACGGUCUGGGAUAUUUAGGCCGCAUGGGCCACACGGGCAUGUGUAGGCCCUGUGUUAGGUUGUGUGGGCCAUACGGGCAUGUGGGUCUUUUUCUGAAAAUUUUCACCUAGGCCUGUUUAACUCUAAAAUUCGUAAUUAGACUUUCUAUAGGGUCCAUAUUGCUUAAUAAGUCUUGAAAACAAGGUAUCUAUUAAUAUGCUUCUGUAUGUGAUGUGUUAAAGGUAUGUUUUCGUUUUGCUAUGUUGAG